GUUGUACGUUGACUGGCGGUCGCUUCGUUAACACCGAAGAGGUCGGCGGUUCGAACCCCAUCGCACGGUC
RNAcentral lists this transfer RNA (70 nucleotides) under Roseivivax sp. THAF197b. RNAcentral describes it as "tRNA-Val". Lineage: Bacteria; Pseudomonadati; Pseudomonadota; Alphaproteobacteria; Rhodobacterales; Roseobacteraceae. The record is from RNAcentral.